This 302-nucleotide ribosomal RNA is filed under the name uncultured bacterium. Its description in RNAcentral is "partial 16S ribosomal RNA". It matches the Rfam family "Bacterial small subunit ribosomal RNA", at positions 508 to 809 of the family's 1533-position model. The record is from RNAcentral.
GCAGUCGCCGCGGUAAUACGUAGGGUGCAAGCGUUAAUCGGAAUUACUGGGCGUAAAGCGUGCGCAGGCGGUUAUAUAAGACAGAUGUGAAAUCCCCGGGCUCAACCUGGGAACUGCAUUUGUGACUGUAUAGCUAGAGUACGGCAGAGGGGGAUGGAAUUCCGCGUGUAGCAGUGAAAUGCGUAGAUAUGCGGAGGAACACCGAUGGCGAAGGCAAUCCCCUGGGCCUGUACUGACGCUCAUGCACGAAAGCGUGGGGAGCAAACAGGAUUAGAUACCCCUGUAGUCCCUGUCUCUUAUAA